GUCUGGUGAGGUGGUACAUACCUGCAAAUUCCAGCUCUCAGGAAAUCUGAGACUGGAGAAUCUCUUGAGCUCUGGAGCUCUAUACUGCACUAGAUAGGCCAACCAGAUGUCCAAACUAACUUUUCCAUUAAUAUGGUGAAGCCUCUGGGAAAAUGGGCCACCAAGUUGCCUUAUGAGGAGUUAACUGGCCUAGAUCAGAAAUGGAGCAGGUCAAAGUUCCUGUGCCAACAACAGUAGAGUUGGGCUCCCAAGUGGCCCCUAUACUUCCAGCCUGAGCAAGAGCGGUAGAUCUAGUCUUU
RNAcentral lists this signal recognition particle RNA (299 nucleotides) under Phascolarctos cinereus (koala). Its description in RNAcentral is "Metazoan signal recognition particle RNA (ENSPCIG00000017301.2)". It matches the Rfam family "Metazoan signal recognition particle RNA". From Rfam's summary of the family: The signal recognition particle (SRP) is a universally conserved ribonucleoprotein. It is involved in the co-translational targeting of proteins to membranes. The record is from RNAcentral. Lineage: Eukaryota; Metazoa; Chordata; Mammalia; Diprotodontia; Phascolarctidae.